AGUUUUUGCUAUAACCGCUCGGAGUUUCCCCGCGAACGCACGAGGAGACCGGUGUCUCGAGCAGAAUGAAUGGUUAUCAAGGCGCCAGAGAGAGAGGGCGAGAGAGAUGGGGGAGCCGUUAAAAGAAGCAACGCCAGGAGUCGUUGAAGACUGGUUCUUCUGGUGAACUCAUGUUACAGUGCUGAGCUACGAAAGACUGCAAUGGGAGGAAGAAGACGAUAAAGUGUCCUAGGAUGGCUCUGUUGGUACACUGGAUGAGGUGGUAGGCCAAAUCCCUCCCGGACAGCUGACCUCCUCCUACAUCACGGUAAAGGCCAGGUCUUGUGGACACCUAGAUCACUUUGUUACCAAAAGAGUAUGUGUUUGUAUGAGAGCUUGAUUGAUUUGACAAGAGUAGAAUGCAUUCAUUUGGAUAAAAGCCAUCCUUGCAGCUCCUCAUUAACUGAAGAUUACAGAUGUUUUUAUUCAUUUUGCAAGACAACAAUGAAAUGGUGACGUAUGUAUAAUCUGUAAUGUGAUGCCGGUUCUUUUAUUUUCUGAAUGAACUCAGCCUUGGUUAUGUCAGCAGUUUAAGUUGUGUGUAUGAAUCAGGCACAAUAAGAACAGGUGCAUUUAUUAAUAAA
Long non-coding RNA from Xyrauchen texanus (razorback sucker), 623 nucleotides. RefSeq lists it as uncharacterized. The transcript has 4 exons. Lineage: Eukaryota; Metazoa; Chordata; Actinopteri; Cypriniformes; Catostomidae. The record is from RefSeq and is a predicted model, not a curated record.